GACGAACGCUGGCGGCGUGCUUAACACAUGCAAGUCGAACGGUGAAGCGCCUUCCUUUUUGGUGGGUGUGGAUGAGUGGCGAACGGGUGAGUAACACGUGAGUAACCUGCCCCCUUCUUCUGGAUAACCGCAUGAAAGUGUGGCUAAUACGGGAUAUUCUGGGUCUGUCGCAUGAUGGGUCUGGGAAAGAUAUUGUUUCGGUGGGGGAUGGGCUCGCGGCCUAUCAGCUUGUUGGUGGGGUGAUGGCCUACCAAGGCGGUGACGGGUAGCCGGCCUGGGAGGGUGGACGGUCACAUUGGGACUGGGACACGGGCCAGACUCCUACGGGAGGCAGCAGUGGGGAAUAGUGCACAAUGGGCGCAAGCCUGAUGCAGCGACGCCGCGUGAGGGAUGGAGGCCUUCGGGUUGUGAACCUCUUUCGCCAGUGAAGCAGGCCUGCCUCGUUUGUGGGUGGGUUGACGGUAGCUGGAUAAGAAGCGCCGGCUAACUACGUG
RNAcentral lists this ribosomal RNA (494 nucleotides) under uncultured bacterium. Its description in RNAcentral is "partial 16S ribosomal RNA". It matches the Rfam family "Bacterial small subunit ribosomal RNA", at positions 28 to 507 of the family's 1533-position model. The record is from RNAcentral.